RNAcentral lists this unclassified non-coding RNA (261 nucleotides) under Ascomycota sp. RNAcentral's name for it is "partial contains small subunit ribosomal RNA, internal transcribed spacer 1, and 5.8S ribosomal RNA". The stretch from base 1 to 47 matches the Rfam family "Eukaryotic small subunit ribosomal RNA", at positions 1785 to 1831 of the family's 1831-position model. Lineage: Eukaryota; Fungi; Ascomycota. The record is from RNAcentral.
AAAGUCGUAACAAGGUCUCCGUUGGUGAACCAGCGGAGGGAUCAUUACCGAGUUAUACAACUCCCAAACCCACUGUGAACCUUACCUCAGUUGCCUCGGCGGGACCGCCCCGGCCGCCGCGCAAGCGGCGCCGGACUCCAAGGCGCCCGCCGCAGGGACCCAAAACUCUUUUGCAUUACGCCCAACGGCGGGAAUUUUUUCUCUGAGUGCAUAAGCAAAACAAAUGAAUCAAAACUUUCAACAACGGAUCUCUUGGUUCUG